AACAUCGCGCACCUGCGGGAACCUGCGGAAGGAUCAUUACCGAGUGUGAACCCCCCCGUAAAAAAGAGGGGUUACCUCCCGUCCUUUGCUGGGAACCCCUUUCCAACUUGGAAGGAGGUUGUUUUCAGACCCUUCUGCUUCGGUGGGGUAACCCACCGGAACAACCUCAAAAAUAUUCUCAAUUCAAAACCGUUCAGUCCGAGAACUUUUUUGAAAAGCGAAAAAACUUUCAGCAACGGA
This 240-nucleotide unclassified non-coding RNA is filed under the name soil metagenome. Its description in RNAcentral is "partial contains 5.8S ribosomal RNA, internal transcribed spacer 2, and large subunit ribosomal RNA". The record is from RNAcentral.